UACAGAGGUCCCAAGCGUUGUUCGGAUUCACUGGGCGUAAAGGGUGCGCAGGUGGGUUUGCAAGUUCGAUGUGAAAGCCCCGGGCUUAACCCGGGAAUGGCAUUGGAUACUGCAGUCUGGAGGAUCGGAGGGGGGGACUGGAAUUCUUGGUGUAGCAGUGAAAUGCGUAGAUAUCAAGAGGAACACCAGUGGCGAAGGCGAGUCCCUGGACGAUACCUGACACUGAGGCACGAAAGCUAGGGGAGCAAACAGG
RNAcentral lists this ribosomal RNA (253 nucleotides) under uncultured bacterium. RNAcentral's name for it is "partial 16S ribosomal RNA". It matches the Rfam family "Bacterial small subunit ribosomal RNA", at positions 524 to 776 of the family's 1533-position model. The record is from RNAcentral.